Molecule: long non-coding RNA, 1318 nt
Filed under: Anas platyrhynchos platyrhynchos (common mallard)
Lineage: Eukaryota; Metazoa; Chordata; Aves; Anseriformes; Anatidae
Description: lncRNA (ENSAPLG00000027263.1)
Source: RNAcentral
AUGUUGAAGUCAAAUUACACACUGGUACUGGCACUAAGGGGUAUGAAAGGAAGGAUCUUCCUUCUAAAAUCAGACAGCCCAUGCAGUCCAAACAAAGUGAUAGGUUAUGUAGUUACUUUUUCUUCUGUCAUACAGCCUGUUUCACAAGUCAGAAUGCGUAGGAAGGAGAGCAAGGAGGAAUCCCUGAAGUAUUCCACUGGAAGCACAGCUGAAGCAAAUGUCAAGAAAACUGUGGAAACCCCCAGCAAAUGCACUAGGCUCCUGGAAAUGCAACCAAGGCUACCAAAUGAAAAAAAAAAAAAAACAAACAACAAAUGAUGGACCCGUAUGAGACUGUGAUCAAGCCAGGCCAGCUCAACCCAGACACAAUGAAGGCAAAUUACAGCACAGGCAGGCUGGGAGCAACCACCAGAAGAGCUGGAAAAGGUUGUAUUAAAACCUCUCAGAUCUGAAUAGAGGGAUUACUCCUGGUUAUAAAAAGAGUCCACACAUUAUAAGUGUGCAAUUACUUCAGAAGAGCAAUUCUGCUCUAAUUGACCCAAAAAGGCAGUUAGCCGCUCAGGCAGCUGGCUGGGGACAAUGGGGCCGAAAAGAAAAGAAAAAACAAAACAGCCCUGCAUAAGAUUAGAUUACGUUUUUUUAUUACCCACGUUAAACAACAACCUCCUGCCUUUACUCCAGGUGACUGCUGGGUGGCUGUUUGAGUUGUUCUUGACUUGCUUUCCUGGGGGUGGUGCAGCAUGCCAGAAAUAAUGCGAUUAUUUGGCAACUGUGGAUCAGAACAUAAAGCUACAAUGCAGGUAUCUUAGAAGAGUCAGAGUUGCUCUUGAUUCACAAUCCACAGGUGUCAAACAGGCAAUUUUUCUUCUGUAGCUGAUUUUACGUAUGACCUCUUCUACUGGAAGUAGACUGUCACAGACGUACCUAAGUCUCUCUCACAUCAGGCUCCACUUGUUGUGAUGUGUUUUUUCUAAGACUGAAACUGAAGUCAUCUGGAUAGGAUGCCUGAAAGAAUGAAUACGAUGGUUUAAGUAACUGGGGUCUUCCCAAGCUCCUAGGCUUGUCAGAUGUUGAGGAAUUUAAAUAUAUUAUCUUAAAAAAAAUGAAUGUAUUUAAACUAUUUCUUUGUUUGUUUUGUUUUGUCUGGAAGGCCUUGCUUUUGAUUAAAUAAGCCCUUGAGAAAGGUCUGUAAGUAUUUGUACCCUUCGUCAUAGCUAGCAAUUUAAAUAGAAAGAGAACUGGAGGUACUGUGCCCAAGUUUUAGAGCAAGGUUGUAACUGGGUAUUCCAUGUUGAGGCUCACUACAUGAAAGGAAAAC